GGCAGAGGCCUGGAGACACCACAAGAACACUAAGACCACACAUGUGUGCUGCUAUGCCUGACCCCAUGUGGGUUCUGGGCCUUGAACCCAACUGAGUUAUCUCCCCAGCCUGCCUUGCUGUGUCA
Molecule: non-coding RNA, 125 nt
Organism: Peromyscus maniculatus bairdii (prairie deer mouse)
Lineage: Eukaryota; Metazoa; Chordata; Mammalia; Rodentia; Cricetidae
Source: RefSeq, a predicted model, not a curated record